Peromyscus californicus insignis is the source of this 2031-nucleotide long non-coding RNA. RefSeq lists it as uncharacterized. The record is from RefSeq and is a predicted model, not a curated record. The transcript is spliced from 2 exons. NCBI's taxonomy places the organism in Eukaryota, Metazoa, Chordata, Mammalia, Rodentia, Cricetidae.
UGGAGGAAGAAGGCAAAGAGAAAAGGGAGGAGAGGAGAGAGAGGAAAAGGCCCUUUUAGUGUCCCUGGCCCUGUUAUCAGAUGUGGCUUCUAGAAGCCUGGACACCAAGACUAGUCCGUAGAAGGUGGGGUAGGAGGAACAAGCUGGGGCUGGGAAUAAAGAAAUCCAAUUAGAUCUGAAGAACUUUCUAUAAGACAAAAAAAAAAGAAAAAAGGCGCAAAGAUGGUUGUCAAGGAGAGAGAAGUGUCCCCGCGGCAGGAAGCAGCCGGGAAGCCCAACAGCCCUGGAACUGGGUGGCCCCGCCAUGGGACCUGAACCCAGAAGAUGGAAGGCAUGGGGGGGGGGUUCCCCGGAGGUUGGGGGCAGGUGAGGCCCGCGGACUGGAAGGCCCUCGAGGCUCCUCCGGCCGGGCCUAGGCAGGCAGAAGCCCGUCUGUGGCUCGUCCCCGGCUCGUCGUCGUCCCCAGGCCGGAGGCGGCUGGGCUCGGGCCCAGCAGCCAUGUUGGGAGCUGGGCCUGGACGCCACCGAACCCGGGCUCGCUGGGGACCCGCGGGGGCCCCCCCCCCCCGGCUCUUCUGCCGCCGCUCCCCACCUCCCACGGCGGCGGCCCGGGGGGCCCCCCGCGCCCAUGGGGUUAACUCUCUCCCCGUCCCUCUGGGCUCCGAGUUGUUUUCCGAGCGAGCGAGCGAGGCAGAGAAUGGCUCUCUUGUUACCAACAUGGCUUCUGGGCAUUGGGUAAUGCGCUCCCUCGUCUCCGGGCCGAGUCACAAAGGGACCUUUUGUUCCUCUCCCGGCCCCUCUCUCUGCCCCCCACCCGCCCCGGCUCCCUCUUCCCCACGCCUCCUGCCCUGCUCUGCGGCACCCCUGGGCGGCCAGGCCUGACCGUGGCCUGGCCGCCGUGCCCUCCCUCGCCCCGGAGGAGAAGGGCCCUGGGCGGCCAUGGCGGCCACGGCGGCGGCCAUUUUGAAAGCGGCCCUUCCAGGCUCCCCGCGGCUCCUCGGGGCGAGCCUCGGGGCGCGAGGUGGGGGGCCCUGCGGCCCCCUGUCCGCGCCUCUCCCAGGCUUCCAGCCUCUCAGGCGGCCAUCUCACUGCAUCCGCACAGCUGGCCCUGGGACGGGGAGAGCCGGGCUCAGAGGGGCCACACUGCCUGCCCACCCCCAAAAGGGCCCAGAACCGGGAAGGAGAUGGACAGAAACAUUUAGGUGGAUUAUAGCCACCUUGGCCAUGUCUAGAAUCACGGAGGCCAUCGCUCUGAGGAGGCAGGGCUCAGCCACCAGAACACUCUGUGACUGCUCCAUCUCACCCACCCAUGUGGAGAGAGCACGUUAGCACGUUCACAGGCUGGGAGUGUGUGCUCUCCUCUGUCUCUUGUCUGCUCUGCUGGGCCUGCCUCCUGGGGAGGCAGAGGCAGAUAGGAACUUGAGGACUUGUGGAUUGGGGUGUGUGUGUGUGUUGGGGGGUGGGUUGGGGAGAGACUCUGAGUUGAACCACUUGCCCUGUGGCCCUCAAAGAGAAGCGAGGAGUUUCAGAAGCUGCAGGUCAGGGUGCCUGGACACACUGAGGGUGUUCCUACUUCUCUCUGGAAGCUGAGGGAGAAAGGCUUCCUGGAGGAGGUGACAGAGAUGAUUAGGUCCAAACGAAGGCUGAGGUAAAGAACACGGAGGAGGAGCUGCUGCUGGGGAGAGGCAGGGAAGGAGAUGGUGAGUGGUGUGUGGGAGGGAAGAGCCCCAUAGCCCACGUGUGCUGUAGUGGGGUGUGGCAGGGAAAAUAAGGAUGGGCAGAGGCGAGCUGCCGUGCGAGCCCAGAGGACUGGGGGUAGCUGCUGAGAAAGACACAUGGAUCCUGAGGGCAGAGGAAAGCUUAAUGAUCUGGGUUUUAUUUAUAUUUAUUGAUUUGUUUAUGAGACAGAGUCUGUCUGUGGAGCCCUGGCUGCCCUGGAACUCUGUAUAGACCGGGCUGGCCUCCGACUCACAGAGACCUGCCUGCCUCUGCCGAAGUACUGGGAUUAAAGGUGUGUGUCACCAGCCCCAA